AACGUAGGAGGCGAGCGUUAUCCGGAGUUACUGGGCGUAAAGCGUGCGUAGGCGGAAGGGUAAGUGGGCUGUGAAAGCCUCAGGCUCAACCUGGGGAGUGCGGCUCAGACUGCUCAUCUAGAGUGGGGUAGAGGAGUGCGGAAGUCGGGGUGUAGCGGUGAAAUGUGUAGAGAUCCCGAGGAACGCCAGUGGCGCAAGCGGCGCUCUGGGCCUUUACUGACGCUGAGGCACGAAAGCUUGGGGAGCGAACGGG
Molecule: ribosomal RNA, 253 nt
Filed under: uncultured bacterium
Lineage: Bacteria
Description: partial 16S ribosomal RNA
Rfam family: Bacterial small subunit ribosomal RNA
Source: RNAcentral